CGAGCGUUAUCCGGAUUCAUUGGGUUUAAAGGGUGCGUUAGNCGGCUUCUUAAGUCAGUGGUGAAUCCUGCGGCUCAACCGUAGAACUGCCAUUGAAACUGGGGGGCUUGAAUACAGAUGAAGUAGGCGGAAUGAGUAGUGUAGCGGUGAAAUGCAUAGAUAUUACUCAGAACACCGAUUGCGUAGGCAGCUUACUAAACUGAUAUUGACGCUGAGGCACGAAAGCGUGGGGAGCGAACAGGAUUAGAUACCCUGGUAGUCCACGCAGUAAACGAUGUUCACUCGCUGUUUGCGAUAUACAGUAAGCGGCUUAGCGAAAGCAUUAAGUGAACCACCUGGGGAGUACGUCGGCAACGGUGAAACUCAAAGGAAUUGACGGGGGCCCGCACAAGCGGAGGAACAUGUGGUUUAAUUCGAUGAUACGCGAGGAACCUUACCUGGGCUUAAAUGUAGGUUGCAUGAGGUGGAAACACCCUUCCCUUCGGGGCUACCUACAAGGUGCUGCAUGGUUGUCGUCAGCUCGUGCCGUGAGGUGUCGGGUUAAGUCCCAUAACGAGCGCAACCCUUACCGUUAGUUGCCAUCAGGUCAAGCUGGGAACUCUAACGGGACUGCCACCGUAAGGUGAGAGGAAGGUGGGGAUGACGUCAAAUCAGCACGGCCCUUAUGUCCAGGGCUACACACGUGUUACGAUGGCCGGUACAGAGGGCAGCUACACCGCGAGGUGGUGCUAAUCCUAAAAGCCGGUCCCAGUUCGGAUCGUAGUCUGCAACCCGACUACGUGAAGUUGGAUUCGCUAGUAAUCGCGCAUCAGCCAUGGCGCGGUGAUACGUUCCCGGGCCUUGUACACACCGCCCGUCAAACCAUGGAAGCUGGGGGGACCUGAAGUCUGUCACCGAAAGGAGCGGCC
RNAcentral lists this ribosomal RNA (908 nucleotides) under uncultured organism. RNAcentral's name for it is "bacterial SSU rRNA". It matches the Rfam family "Bacterial small subunit ribosomal RNA", at positions 535 to 1457 of the family's 1533-position model. The record is from RNAcentral.